RNAcentral lists this small nuclear RNA (184 nucleotides) under Dermacentor silvarum. RNAcentral describes it as "U2 spliceosomal RNA". It matches the Rfam family "U2 spliceosomal RNA". Rfam says of the family: U2 is a small nuclear RNA (snRNA) component of the spliceosome (involved in pre-mRNA splicing). Complementary binding between U2 snRNA (in an area lying towards the 5' end but 3' to hairpin I) and the branchpoint sequence (BPS) of the intron results the bulging out of an unpaired adenosine, on the BPS, which initiates a nucleophilic attack at the intronic 5' splice site, thus starting the first of two transesterification reactions that mediate splicing. The record is from RNAcentral. Lineage: Eukaryota; Metazoa; Arthropoda; Arachnida; Ixodida; Ixodidae.
AUGGCUGAUACGGGUCAAAGUUUAGUAUCUGUUCUUAUCAGCUUAAUAUCUGAUACGGGUUGUAUUUGGACCCAAGAUAUUAAACUUAUUUUUGAAAGUUUGCGCAGUGCUUGAAGUCUUGCUUCACCUCCGCCGCGGGACGGCCCGGUAUGGCACUAUCUUCGGGAUUUUCGGUCUACGGACA